AUCCAUCUGACGAGUCCCAAAUAGGACGAACACGCAUCCUGCAU
This is a non-coding RNA of Schistosoma rodhaini, 44 nucleotides long. The record is from Rfam. NCBI's taxonomy places the organism in Eukaryota, Metazoa, Platyhelminthes, Trematoda, Strigeidida, Schistosomatidae.